This 440-nucleotide ribosomal RNA is filed under the name uncultured bacterium. RNAcentral's name for it is "partial 16S ribosomal RNA". It matches the Rfam family "Bacterial small subunit ribosomal RNA", at positions 338 to 795 of the family's 1533-position model. The record is from RNAcentral.
CCUACGGGAGGCAGCAGUAGGGAAUAUUGCUCAAUGGGGGAAACCCUGAAGCAGCAACGCCGCGUGGAGGAUGAAGGUUUUCGGAUUGUAAACUCCUUUUGUUAGAGAAGAUAAUGACGGUAUCUAACGAAUAAGCACCGGCUAACUCCGUGCCAGCAGCCGCGGUAAUACGGAGGGUGCAAGCGUUACUCGGAAUCACUGGGCGUAAAGAGCGCGUAGGCGGGAUAGCAAGUCAGAUGUGAAAUCCUAUGGCUUAACCAUAGAACUGCAUUUGAAACUGUUAUUCUAGAGUAUGGGAGAGGUAAGUGGAAUUCUUGGUGUAGGGGUGAAAUCCGUAGAGAUCAAGAAGAAUACUCAUGGCGAAGGCGACCUGCUAGAACAUAACUGACGCUGAUGCGCGAAAGCGUGGGGAGCGAACAGGAUUAGAUACCCUUGUAGUC